CGGGGGGGGCAAGCGUUGUUCGGAAUUACUGGGCGUAAAGGGCUCGUAGGCGGCCAACUAAGUCCGACGUGAAAUCCCCAGGCUUAACCUGGGAACUGCGUCGGAUACUGGAUGGCUUGAAUUCGGGAGAGGGAUGCAGAAUUCCAGGUGUAGCGGUGAAAUGCGUAGAUAUCUGGAGGAAUACCGGUGGCGAAGGCGGCAUCCUGGACCGACAUUGACGCUGAGUGAGCGAAAGCUAGGGGAGCAAACGGGAUUAGAUACCCCGGUAGUCCUAGCCCUAAACGAUGAAUGCUUGGUGUGGCGGGUAUCGAUCCCUGCCGUGCCGAAGCUAACGCAUUAAGCGUUCCGCCUGGGGAGUACGGUCGCAAGGCUG
Molecule: ribosomal RNA, 373 nt
Filed under: uncultured organism
Description: bacterial SSU rRNA
Rfam family: Bacterial small subunit ribosomal RNA
Source: RNAcentral